Molecule: ribosomal RNA, 483 nt
Filed under: uncultured bacterium
Lineage: Bacteria
Description: partial 16S ribosomal RNA
Rfam family: Bacterial small subunit ribosomal RNA
Source: RNAcentral
GACGAACGCUGGCGGCGUGCUUAACACAUGCAAGUCGAACGCUGAAGCUUAUCUGUUGUUGGGUGGAUGAGUGGCGAUCGUGUGAGUAACACGUGUGUAACCUGCCUCCUGCGUGGGGAUAUCGCUCGGAAACGGGUGCUAAUACUGGAUAUUCACUGUGGUGCGCAUGGGGGUUGGUGGAAAGGGGUGUCUUUGUUUGUGAUGGGGUCGGGGCCUAUCAGCUUGUUGGUGGGGUGGUGGCCUACCAAGGCUUUGACGGGUAGCCGGCCUGAGAGGGUGACCGGUCACAUUGGGACUGAGAUACGGCCCAGACUCCCACGGGAGGCACACAUGGGGAAUAUUGCACAAUGGGCGCAAGCCUGAUGCAGCGACGCAGCGUGAGGAAUGGAGGCCUUCGGGUUGUGAACCUCUUUCGCUCAAAAAACAGCCGCAACAAUGGUUGUGGUGAGGGUAGUGGGUAAAGAAGCGCCGGCUAACUACGUG